This 460-nucleotide ribosomal RNA is filed under the name uncultured bacterium. RNAcentral's name for it is "partial 16S ribosomal RNA". It matches the Rfam family "Bacterial small subunit ribosomal RNA", at positions 338 to 795 of the family's 1533-position model. The record is from RNAcentral.
CCUACGGGGAGCAGCAGUGAGGAAUAUUGGUCAAUGGGCGCGAGCCUGAACCAGCCAAGUAGCGUGAAGGAUGACUGCCCUACGGGUUGUAAACUUCUUUUAUAAAGGAAUACAGUGAUGCACGUGUGCCUUUUUGUAUGUACUUUAUGAAUAAGGAUAGGCUCACUCCGUGCCAGCAGCCGCGGUAAUACUGAGGAUCCGAGCGUUAUCCGGAUUUAUUGGGGUUAAAGGGAGCGUAGAUGGGUUGUUAAGUCAGUUGUGAAAGUUUGCGGCUCAACCGUAAAAUUGCAAUUGAUACUGGCAGCCGUGAGUACAGUUGAGGUAGGCGGAAUUCGUGGUGUAGCGGUGAAAUGCUUAGAUAUCACGAAGAACUCCGAUUGCGAAGGCAGCUUACUAAACUGCCACUGACAUUGAUGCUCGAAAGUGUGGGUAUCAAACAGGAUUAGAUACCCGAGUAGUC